UACGUAGGUCCCGAGCGUUGUCCAGAUUUAUUGGGCGUAAAGCGAGCGCAGGUGGUUUAUUAAGUCUGGUGUAAAAGGCAGUGGCUCAACCAUUGUAUGCAUUGGAAACUGGUAGACUUGAGUGCAGGAGAGGAGAGUGGAAUUCCAUGUGUAGCGGUGAAAUGCGUAGAUAUAUGGAGGAACACCGGUGGCGAAAGCGGCUCUCUGGCCUGUAACUGACGCUGAGGUUCGAAAGCGUGGGUAGCAAACAGG
This 252-nucleotide ribosomal RNA is filed under the name uncultured bacterium. Its description in RNAcentral is "partial 16S ribosomal RNA". It matches the Rfam family "Bacterial small subunit ribosomal RNA", at positions 524 to 776 of the family's 1533-position model. The record is from RNAcentral.